GAUUAGCUUAGUUGGUAGAACAUGAGACUCUUAAUCUCGGGGUUCAAGCCCCACGUUGAGCA
RNAcentral lists this transfer RNA (62 nucleotides) under Podarcis lilfordi (Lilford's wall lizard). RNAcentral describes it as "tRNA.Lys". Lineage: Eukaryota; Metazoa; Chordata; Lepidosauria; Squamata; Lacertidae. The record is from RNAcentral.